This 499-nucleotide ribosomal RNA is filed under the name uncultured bacterium. RNAcentral's name for it is "partial 16S ribosomal RNA". It matches the Rfam family "Bacterial small subunit ribosomal RNA", at positions 29 to 523 of the family's 1533-position model. The record is from RNAcentral.
AUUGAACGCUGGCGGCAUGCCUUACACAUGCAAGUCGAACGCGAAAGGGGGGCAACCCCUGAGUAGAGUGGCGCACGGGUGAGUAAUGCAUCGGAACGUGUCCUGUAGCGGGGGAUAACCUAGCGAAAGCUAGGCUAAUACCGCAUACGUCCUAAGGGAGAAAGUGGGGGAUCGUAAGACCUCACACUAUAGGAGCGGCCGAUGCCGGAUUAGCUAGUUGGUGGGGUAAAAGCUCACCAAGGCGACGAUCCGUAGCUGGUCUGAGAGGAUGAUCAGCCACACUGGGACUGAGACACGGCCCAGACUCCUACGGGAGGCAGCAGUGGGGAAUUUUGGACAAUGGGGGAAACCCUGAUCCAGCCAUGCCGCGUGAGUGAAGAAGGCCUUCGGGUUGUAAAGCUCUUUCGGCCGGGACGAAAUCGUACCUUCCAACACAAGGUGCGGAUGACGGUACCGGCAGAAGAAGGACCGGCUAACUACGUGCCAGCCGCCGCGGUAA